GCAGACUUGGCUUGUGACUCUACAUCACUUUCACCCUUACUGUGUGGGUAUCGGAUCAUAGCCCAGGCUGUAAAAUGGCACAGAACAUGGCAAAGUGCCCUGGCUGCAUUCCUGCUGCUUUCCCUGAGUGCCCUGCACCCCUGCCCUAAAGACGCCUUCUACUGCUGUUCAACAGCAAGGACAUGAGGAUGCCUGUGCUGGGUGGGAAAAAACCCUUUCUUCUGCUUACAAAGAAAAGUUAGCUCGGAAUCGCUUAAUUGCAUCUGGACAUUAGUCAAUCGAAGGAAUCUGCCAGCAGCAGAAAUUCUGAAGGACCUGUGUCAGAACAGUCAUAGCUGUGAUCUUCUGAACGCUCCUUUAGAGGGUUCUGCAGACUGGAAUUGGAGCCCCACUUCAAAAAAAUGACUAUGACUGAAUCUGAUGCAAAGCAUCUACAAACUUCAUCCUUCAUGUUUUUAACUACCAAGAAAUGGAAACUGCAACAUUUCAAACAGGUUAAU
Prinia subflava (tawny-flanked prinia) is the source of this 500-nucleotide long non-coding RNA. RefSeq lists it as uncharacterized. Lineage: Eukaryota; Metazoa; Chordata; Aves; Passeriformes; Cisticolidae. The record is from RefSeq and is a predicted model, not a curated record. The transcript has 3 exons.